RNAcentral lists this transfer RNA (43 nucleotides) under Toxocara canis (dog roundworm). It matches the Rfam family "tRNA", at positions 1 to 42 of the family's 71-position model. From Rfam's summary of the family: Transfer RNA (tRNA) molecules are approximately 80 nucleotides in length. Their secondary structure includes four short double-helical elements and three loops (D, anti-codon, and T loops). Further hydrogen bonds mediate the characteristic L-shaped molecular structure. tRNAs have two regions of fundamental functional importance: the anti-codon, which is responsible for specific mRNA codon recognition, and the 3' end, to which the tRNAs corresponding amino acid is attached (by aminoacyl-tRNA synthetases). tRNAs cope with the degeneracy of the genetic code in two manners: having more than one tRNA (with a specific anti-codon) for a particular amino acid; and 'wobble' base-pairing, i.e. permitting non-standard base-pairing at the 3rd anti-codon position. The record is from Rfam by way of RNAcentral. Lineage: Eukaryota; Metazoa; Nematoda; Chromadorea; Rhabditida; Toxocaridae.
GGCCCUGUGGCCUAAUGGAUAAGGCGUCGGACUUCGGAUCCGA